UAACAUUUUAAUGUAUUCUCUUAGACUGUGCAAAUACAGAGAUUCUUAAGUACUGUAUGUACCUACAGUACACGCUUUUGGUUCGUUAUUACUUACACACACUCUUCUGGUACAGUCAUACAUGACGUUUCCGCCCCCUGAUUACUACAGGGUGUUGCGUAUUAAUGGAUUAAUUUUAGAGCUCGUAUUAUAUGGAUUUCUCAGUUCUCCUGGGAAUCCGUGCAUAGGAUCCAGUUAAUUUUGAUACGGAUCCUGGAUCCGCACUGACAAAAAUUUAUCCUAAUCCGGAUUUAGCUUAUUGGGUUGGUAUGUACGCACAAGUACAGGCUGCAAAUCAGGGACCUUGGGGAAUUUGCGUAAAAAGUCUUAGUUGAUUGGAGGGAUUGUUGCUUGCAGAUACAGAAACCUAAUGGAUCCGUUUGCAAGCGAGUCGAACAAAACUCCGUUCUCCGGCAGCAUGUAAUUUAUAUCAAUCGGCAAAAAAUCUCAUUUUAAAAAAUUGUGUAUUCUUCUAGUAUUAUACACUAAUUCAUAAUUAUUUAUAUUUAAACAAUUUUAUAUCUUUAUACUUCAAUCUCGUAAAUUUGAUAUGUGGAGUUUUAAAUAGUCAUUCUUUUACACGCCAUUUUGGAUAUAAAACAAGUUUCUGGCUAACAGAGCUCAAUGUUAAAUCUUAAUUACGCCUUGAGUGAUAGUUUUUGUGUGAUUUAAAAGUUAAUGGUAAUAGUUUUUAUAUGAAUAACUUCAUUUUAUAUCGUUGUGAUACUGUUAAAACUGAAAUAUACUAUUUAGAUAAA
Molecule: long non-coding RNA, 797 nt
Organism: Eurytemora carolleeae
Lineage: Eukaryota; Metazoa; Arthropoda; Copepoda; Calanoida; Temoridae
Exons: 3
Source: RefSeq, a predicted model, not a curated record